Diprion similis is the source of this 909-nucleotide long non-coding RNA. RefSeq lists it as uncharacterized. The record is from RefSeq and is a predicted model, not a curated record. The transcript is spliced from 2 exons. NCBI's taxonomy places the organism in Eukaryota, Metazoa, Arthropoda, Insecta, Hymenoptera, Diprionidae.
AGAAAAAAAAAAGAAAAUUGAAUAUAAUAAUAAUAAUAAUAAUAAUAAUAACAACAACAAUAAAACAAACAAACAAACAAACAAACAUGAUAAGAAAACGAUGUAACGAUUAAUAUAGAAUAAUUUUAAGAACGAGUUAUUAAGUAUAUAUAAACCGAGCAGCGUCAAGCUGCAAAAGAUGUAUUUGUCAUUUGAUAUGAUGUGAGAAUAGAUUCGUGGCGCGAGGCGCGUAUAGACUGACUGAGUAGUGAAAAGACACACACUCAUGGUGCACUGUACUGCUAUUUAUUGUGUAUUGUAUUCACUACACAACGUCACUGCUCUUCUCGGCUUUAGUUCGAAGUUAAUGAUUUGUAGACGAGGAAGUCCCUGCGUUCAGUGUUUCAAUCAACGCGCGAGUCGUCAUUUUGACAAAACGAAAGUAACUAAUGCAGAGAGGUGAAAAAAAGACGCUGAGGAUGUCAGGGGAGAGAAAUGUUUGAAGAAUUUUUGGGAAUUGUUUCGAAACGAGAAGUCGAAAGGAGCAGUGGUUUAAGCACACUACGAUAUUGAAUAAUAAUAUUAUUAUACUGAGAGAGAGACGAGAAAGCUGUUCGAGAGGAUUAAUUUAUCUCUGUACGCAUAUGUGAUAAGGUACCACGAUUACGAUAUAACGUCGUGUAUAAAGAGGAAACAUUGAUGAUGAUAUAUAAGGAAGAAAAAAAGAGAGAAAGAAAAUAGCGUGAGAGAGAGAGAAUAAAAGAAAGGAAGAAAAAGAAGAAGAAGAGACAAAAAACAAGAAAAACUGCCGUCUACGUAUGUGUGUGCAAAGUGAAACAACCGUCUAUCUAAUCUCGACGAUUAACAUUCGUUUCCGUUGACUGAAAUUAGGGCGAAUACUAUAUUAUCUGAAUUAAAAGAUCAGAUAGA